This is a non-coding RNA of Acanthosepion pharaonis, 102 nucleotides long. The record is from the annotation of a GenBank genome assembly. NCBI's taxonomy places the organism in Eukaryota, Metazoa, Mollusca, Cephalopoda, Sepiida, Sepiidae.
CAAGUUGAAACACCGGUUCCCGUAUGUUAACCGCAGUUAAGCAACAUCAAGCCUGAUAAGUAUCUAGAUGGGUCACCGCUUGAGAAUAUUAGGUGUUGUAAG